This is a long non-coding RNA of Oreochromis aureus, 303 nucleotides long. RefSeq lists it as uncharacterized. The transcript is spliced from 3 exons. The record is from RefSeq and is a predicted model, not a curated record. NCBI's taxonomy places the organism in Eukaryota, Metazoa, Chordata, Actinopteri, Cichliformes, Cichlidae.
GGGAGACCUCAGUGUCAGAUCUUUCAUUUGAGCUACCAACAUCAUCUGAGAGCAUGGAAAUAAUUAUUGAUGUUGAUGCUGAUACUGACAUCGAUAUAAUCACUCCUGAAAGUUCAUACUCUGAUGCUGCUGACCCAGAUGUGCCAUCACUCAAACGAACUGACAGCAUAUUUCUUACCAGUGAAUACCUGCAGUCAAUCUCCAAGGUGGCUGACACACCAGAAGCUUCUGGAAGUUGUAUUGAAAGCACUGAUGAUGAAUAUAUUCCAUCAAAAGACUCAGGGAAUGAAAGUAGUUCAGAGG